This 375-nucleotide long non-coding RNA is filed under the name Medicago truncatula (barrel medic). Its description in RNAcentral is "long non-coding RNA (MTRU_LNC007631)". Lineage: Eukaryota; Viridiplantae; Streptophyta; Magnoliopsida; Fabales; Fabaceae. The record is from RNAcentral.
AUUGAAUGGAAUGAGCUUUGGCCAAAAGUUGUUGAAUGCUACUUCAAAAAACUAUUUCUCGACAAUUUAUUUCACAAUCAUCUCUCUUCAAUUCACGUUGGGAACCUUUUCUUUUAUUUUCAAAUAUUAUAUUUCAAUAUGUUUUUUUCUUCCAUUUAAUUUUUUUUUAGCCGUUCCAUUUAAUUUUUUAAAGGAGGUUCCAUUUAAUUUUAUUACCUUUUUUUCAAAGAAAUUUUAUUAUCUUUUUAUCACUUAUAUAUUUAAUUUAAAUAUCGUUUAAUUAUAACAACCUCACAAAUAUUUUUAUUUACGCUAUCAUUUAAUGAUACAGAAUAUUUUUAUUUUCUUUCUUCAACCUCGCAAAUAUACAGACAC